Molecule: microRNA precursor, 118 nt
Filed under: Macleaya cordata
Lineage: Eukaryota; Viridiplantae; Streptophyta; Magnoliopsida; Ranunculales; Papaveraceae
Description: MIR396 microRNA precursor family
Rfam family: MIR396 microRNA precursor family
Source: Rfam by way of RNAcentral
GGUCGUACUUUUCCACAGCUUUCUUGAACUUCUUAUAAUUAUGUUGUAAAUCAUGAACCAUUGAUUUAAAAAAUAAGGCUUAGAAGAAGUUCAAGGAAGCUGUGGGAAAAUAUGACAA